GCCCACCUGGCGGAAUUGGUAGACGCGCUGGUUUUAGGUACCAGUGACUUUGGUUGUGCGGGUUCGAGUCCCGCGGUGGGCA
Transfer RNA from Candidatus Synechococcus spongiarum, 82 nucleotides. It matches the Rfam family "tRNA". From Rfam's summary of the family: Transfer RNA (tRNA) molecules are approximately 80 nucleotides in length. The record is from Rfam. Lineage: Bacteria; Bacillati; Cyanobacteriota; Cyanophyceae; Synechococcales; Synechococcaceae.